This 256-nucleotide ribosomal RNA is filed under the name uncultured bacterium. RNAcentral describes it as "partial 16S ribosomal RNA". It matches the Rfam family "Bacterial small subunit ribosomal RNA", at positions 99 to 354 of the family's 1533-position model. The record is from RNAcentral.
CGGACGGGUGAGUAACACGUAGAGAACCUACCUUACACAGGGGGACAACGGCUGGAAACGGCUGCUAAUACCGCAUAAGCACCCAGUUUCGCACGAAACAGAGUGAAAAGAGUAAAUCGGUGUAAGAUGGCUCUGCGUCUGAUUAGCUAGUUGGUGGGGUAAAGGCUCACCAAGGCGACGAUCAGUAGCCGGCCUGAGAGGGCGACCGGCCACAUUGGGACUGAGACACGGCCCAGACUCCUACGGGAGGCAGCAG